Molecule: non-coding RNA, 347 nt
Organism: Drosophila melanogaster (fruit fly)
Lineage: Eukaryota; Metazoa; Arthropoda; Insecta; Diptera; Drosophilidae
Source: Ensembl
AGACAAAACAGUUACAAAAUUUGAAUGGCAGCGCGUGAGGGGGCGGGGGAUGGGGAGUGAAUGAUUGAAUGAGCGACUGAAUGAAUGAAUGCAUGAUUGAGUGAGUGUCUGCCUAUCCUCCUCUCCUCCAAUGAGCCCCCACCGAUGCAAAUGCUUUCAAGUCGUUUGCCAAUGCAAUUGGCAAACAAGGAAGCAAAACGAGCUGCUGUCAAUUCAAAAUGAUCCGCACAGACAGUUAAAAUAGAAAAAAUGUUCCAGGCAUGGAAAGGAGAGGGUCUAUCGCCGGCAAGAAGCAGAAUCCUCCGCCACUCAGGCGACGCCACAAAAAUAAAAGACUAGGAAGUAUU